UACGUAGGGGGCAAGCGUUGUCCGGAAUUAUUGGGCGUAAAGCGCGCACAGGCGGUCCUUUAAGUCUGAUGUGAAAGCCCACGGCUCAACCGUGGAGGGUCAUUGGAAACUGGGGGACUUGAGUACAGAAGAGAAGAGUGGAAUUCCACGUGUAGCGGUGAAAUGCGUAGAGAUGUGGAGGAACACCAGUGGCGAAGGCGACUCUUUGGUCUGUAACUGACGCUGAGGCGCGAAAGCGUGGGGAGCAAACAGG
This 253-nucleotide ribosomal RNA is filed under the name uncultured bacterium. RNAcentral describes it as "partial 16S ribosomal RNA". It matches the Rfam family "Bacterial small subunit ribosomal RNA", at positions 524 to 776 of the family's 1533-position model. The record is from RNAcentral.